Molecule: small nuclear RNA, 246 nt
Filed under: Erinaceus europaeus (western European hedgehog)
Lineage: Eukaryota; Metazoa; Chordata; Mammalia; Eulipotyphla; Erinaceidae
Description: 7SK RNA
Rfam family: 7SK RNA
About the family: 7SK was discovered as an abundant small nuclear RNA in the mid-70s but a possible function has only recently been suggested. Two independent studies have found that 7SK RNA binds the CDK9/cyclin T complex (known as elongation factor P-TEFb). P-TEFb activates transcription by phosphorylating the C-terminal domain of RNA polymerase II.
Source: Rfam by way of RNAcentral
GGACUGAUCCAAUUCUCUUGGCGGGGGAGAACUACCCAAUGUAAAGCAUACAACACUGCUCCAUGUGCAUCCCUUCAGAAGCUGUGUGCUUGGUCAAAGAGGAUGGCCUUCCCUGAAUAGAGACUGACCAGUCUUUGGUCGAGGGUGUAUGAGUAACUGUACUCCCUUGCUAGAACCUCCAAACAAGCUCUCAAUACCAAAGGGGAAUUGCUCUAGUUCUAAGCUUAAAGUCACUAGGACUUCUCU